UUUGUAGAAUGAACCGGCGAGUUACGAUUUGAUGCAAGGUUAAGCAGUAAAUGUGGAGCCGUAGCGAAAGCGAGUCUGAAUAGGGCGUUUAGUAUUUGGUCGUAGACCCGAAACCAGGUGAUCUACCCUUGGUCAGGUUGAAGUUCAGGUAACACUGAAUGGAGGACCGAACCGACUUACGUUGAAAAGUGAGCGGAUGAACUGAGGGUAGCGGAGAAAUUCCAAUCGAACCUGGAGAUAGCUGGUUCUCUCCGAAAUAGCUUUAGGGCUAGCCUCAAGUGAUGAUUAUUGGAGGUAGAGCACUGUUUGGACGAGGGGCCCCUCUCGGGUUACCGAAUUCAGACAAACUCCGAAUGCCAAUUAAUUUAACUUGGGAGUCAGAACAUGGGUGAUAAGGUCCGUGUUCGAAAGGGAAACAGCCCAGACCACCAGCUAAGGUCCCAAAAUAUAUGUUAAGUGGAAAAGGAUGUGGCGUUGCCCAGACAACUAGGAUGUUGGCUUAGAAGCAGCCAUCAUUUAAAGAGUGCGUAAUAGCUCACUAGUCGAGUGACACUGCGCCGAAAAUGUACCGGGGCUAAACAUAUUACCGAAGCUGUGGAUUGUCCUUUGGACAAUGGUAGGAGAGCGUUCUAAGGGCGUUGAAGCAUGAUCGUAAGGACAUGUGGAGCGCUUAGAAGUGAGAAUGCCGGUGUGAGUAGCGAAAGACGGGUGAGAAUCCCGUCCACCGAUUGACUAAGGUUUCCAGAGGAAGGCUCGUCCGCUCUGGGUUAGUCGGGUCCUAAGCUGAGGCCGACAGGCGUAGGCGAUGGAUAACAGGUUGAUAUUCCUGUACCACCUAUAAUCGUUUUAAUCGAUGGGGGGACGCAGUAGGAUAGGCGAAGCGUGCGAUUGGAUUGCACGUCUAAGCAGUAAGGCUGAGUAUUAGGCAAAUCCGGUACUCGUUAAGGCUGAGC
Molecule: ribosomal RNA, 953 nt
Filed under: Staphylococcus aureus
Lineage: Bacteria; Bacillati; Bacillota; Bacilli; Caryophanales; Staphylococcaceae
Description: partial 23S ribosomal RNA
Rfam family: Bacterial large subunit ribosomal RNA
Source: RNAcentral